Molecule: ribosomal RNA, 484 nt
Filed under: uncultured bacterium
Lineage: Bacteria
Description: partial 16S ribosomal RNA
Rfam family: Bacterial small subunit ribosomal RNA
Source: RNAcentral
AUUGAACGCUGGCGGCAUGCUUUACACAUGCAAGUCGAACGGCAGCGCGGGCUUCGGCCUGGCGGCGAGUGGCGAACGGGUGAGUAAUGCAUCGGAACGUGCCCAGUAGUGGAGGAUAGCCCGGCGAAAGCCGGAUUAAUACCGCAUACGACCUGAGGGUGAAAGCGGGGGACCGAAAGGCCUCGCGCUAUUGGAGCGGCCGAUGUCGGAUUAGCUAGUUGGUGGGGUAAAGGCUUACCAAGGCGACGAUCCGUAGCUGGUCUGAGAGGACGACCAGCCACACUGGGACUGAGACACGGCCCAGACUCCUACGGGAGGCAGCAGUGGGGAAUUUUGGACAAUGGGGGCAACCCUGAUCCAGCCAUGCCGCGUGCGGGAAGAAGGCCUUCGGGUUGUAAACCGCUUUUGUUCGGGAAGAAAUCCUCUGGGCUAAUACCCCGGGGGGAUGACGGUACCGGAAGAAUAAGCACCGGCUAACUACGUG